This is a non-coding RNA of Parelaphostrongylus tenuis, 71 nucleotides long. The record is from the annotation of a GenBank genome assembly. Lineage: Eukaryota; Metazoa; Nematoda; Chromadorea; Rhabditida; Metastrongylidae.
GCCUUGGUAGUGUAGUGGUAGCAUGCUCCCGCGGUUUGGGUGGAAAUCGGGUUCAAGUCCCGCCUGAGGUU